RNAcentral lists this ribosomal RNA (120 nucleotides) under Talaromyces stipitatus ATCC 10500. The record is from RNAcentral. Lineage: Eukaryota; Fungi; Ascomycota; Eurotiomycetes; Eurotiales; Trichocomaceae.
ACAUACGACCAUAGGGUGUGGAAAACAGGGCUUCCCGUCCGCUCAGCCGUACUUAAGCCACACGCCGGUUGGUUAGUAGUUGGGUGGGUGACCACCAGCGAAUCCCAGCUGUUGUAUGUU